Molecule: ribosomal RNA, 253 nt
Filed under: uncultured bacterium
Lineage: Bacteria
Description: partial 16S ribosomal RNA
Rfam family: Bacterial small subunit ribosomal RNA
Source: RNAcentral
UACGAAGGGGGCUAGCGUUGUUCGGAUUUACUGGGCGUAAAGCGCACGUAGGCGGAUUCUUAAGUCAGGGGUGAAAUCCUGGAGCUCAACUCCAGAACUGCCUUUGAUACUGAGAAUCUCGAGUUCGGGAGAGGUGAGUGGAACUGCGAGUGUAGAGGUGAAAUUCGUAGAUAUUCGCAAGAACACCAGUGGCGAAGGCGGCUCACUGGCCCGAAACUGACGCUGAGGUGCGAAAGCGUGGGGCGCAAACAGG